RNAcentral lists this ribosomal RNA (465 nucleotides) under uncultured bacterium. RNAcentral's name for it is "bacterial SSU rRNA". It matches the Rfam family "Bacterial small subunit ribosomal RNA", at positions 331 to 796 of the family's 1533-position model. The record is from RNAcentral.
CCAGACUCCUACGGGAGGCAGCAGUGAGGAAUAUUGGUCAAUGGCCGCAGGGCUGAACCAGCCAAGUCGCGUGAGGGAUGACGGUCCUAUGGAUUGUAAACCUCUUUUGUCAGGGAGCAAAGGGCGCCACGUGUGGCGUUUUGCGAGUACCUGAAGAAAAAGCAUCGGCUAACUCCGUGCCAGCAGCCGCGGUAAUACGGAGGAUGCGAGCGUUAUCCGGAUUUAUUGGGUUUAAAGGGUGCGCAGGCGGAAUGUCAAGUCAGCGGUAAAAUUUCGGGGCUCAACCCCGUCGUGCCGUUGAAACUGGCGUGCGCGAGUUGGAGAGAAGUAUGCGGAAUUCGUGGUGUAGCGGUGAAAUGCAUAGAUAUCACGAAGAACCCCGAUUGCGAAGGCAGCAUACCGGCUCCACACUGACGCUGAGGCACGAAAGCGUGGGUAUCGAACAGGAUUAGAUACCCCCGUACC